Molecule: ribosomal RNA, 2685 nt
Filed under: Triticum aestivum (bread wheat)
Lineage: Eukaryota; Viridiplantae; Streptophyta; Magnoliopsida; Poales; Poaceae
Description: partial small subunit ribosomal RNA
Source: RNAcentral
UUUUGUCAAUCCGCCAUCGAUGUGUGAUCGUGCGAUCGGGUGAGGGGAGACGGAAAAGGUUAAUCCGUUCGUGUCAAUGUUUUAUUUUAAUACACGCUCGUCAGAGUGAGCUGCCGCCGCAAGGAGAGAGAGAGGGGGGCCGGGGAGGAUAGAGCGCUAACGCCUCCGCCGUCGUCGUUGCUGUGGCCUCCUUACUGGUCCUCCGCUGCCGAUGGAGAGAGCGAGUACCUCACGAAGGGAAAGGACGAGAUUACGCCGUCGCUGGGCCUCCGCUACACCAGCCACGUAGCUAGACUUCGCUCGAGCCGCUACUUAUGCCGGAAGAGGCCGCAGGAGAGGUGGAAACAGCCAUAAGAGUAGCCAUUUACUACUUAGCCUUAAGACGGUGCUUUAAAUCUUCAGGUUGUUCUACAAAGGUUCCCUGAACCUCUGCUCCCUUACUAUGUCUGUUCUUUUACCGUUACAGACAUGGGUGCCGCAGGAGUGGUUACCACAAGGCACUGAGGCUCAAGCGGAACUACAUGAGUCCAUGGAGAGUCGGGUACUUCUUAGAUGAACAACGAUGAACGAUUAUACUAAUUCCGAACACACAAAAGGACUUAAACAAGUCUCCCGUUUAAUAGCUUCAACGAUCUACAGGCUAAGCUAGACAAAAGUAACGCGUAUUUUUAACAAAGAAGUUAAUCGUUUAUAAAGUUAAAAUACAGAGACAAAAUAAGAACUUAGACGUUCCUUGAGUUUCUAUCAACAUGUAAAUGAUUGUACGUAAGAUCAGGUAUUUAACAAACCCGUUAUGUGUGUUUUUCUACAUGUACAAACCCCAAGUUUAAAAUCAAAGAAAACUCCGAAUACUUAAUUACGACUUAAAACGUCAAUUCCUUAUCGAACGAGAGAGAUGCGUUUUCUUUUCCUUCAACGAUCGACAUGAUACUUGUACAUAACUCUAGAAGGCCGUUACGAUCCGAAAACUCAAAAGGGCAAAUUUAAAUCCCACGUUAAGAACGAAGACCAGUAGUAAUCUUAAUGAAUCACAAUUAAAGAAAAACUGGUUGCUUAGGGAUACCAUUAAAAGACAAUUAGUAUUUGAUCUACCAUGUUUGUUUGUUCCUCGUUUCUGAGUUAAUCCAAUGUGAUCCUCGGUGCUUUUGAAUGGAUUUUUGAUGUCGUGAUUUCGACCAGGUCACUCCUCGAGCCACGGAUAUCUUUGGUUUUCUCUUCUCGUUCUGUCUCUGGUUAAUGAAUCACAAUUAUCAGAAUAGAACAUAUAUGUAGUACGAUAAGAGACAAGUCGAAUGACGUACCGGUUAUAUUAAUAAGUCAUCCGAUAUACUCAUUAAAUUAAAAGAACAAAACACGUGAAACCUCGUUGAGCACCAAUGAUCGUCUAAGCUGAAUUCUUAAUAAAGUUAACGUUACUCCAUGUCACUGGGAGAAAGACCGACAUAUAGAAGCGACAAAGCCAACUUGACCGUAUUUGGAUUAAGCAUUACAACUACACAAAGGAAAGCGAAAAGGAAAAAGAUCCUUCGGUACUGUAAAUGAACCACGGUCAGUAAUCAAUUAGUUAGAGUUACAAGGGUAUUAUCUCCUAACCAUAACUAAACGUAACCGAAUUGAUAGCUCCUGUUCACAAAGUGAAAGUGGGAUUUUGACCAACUAAACGAGGAAAGUUCCUCCGGAUGUAAUACGAUUUACAGAUAUACUCUAUCUCUUCAUCAGCGUUAGUCAAUUGUAUAAAUAAGAAGUUGGUAUAUAAGUCUUUAAGAAUUGUACAUUAUGUAGUGUAUAAAUAGACAUACAUCGACUACGAAGAAACGAAUUUAGAAUACAAACAAUUUACAACCGUCUGUCUUAGUAAUCGAUGUAUGUCUAUUUACAUGCUACAUAAGGUACAAUCCUAAAAGACUUCGAGCUAACGGUGAUGAAGAGAUCGAGUAUACACUAUUACACUAGUACGUUAACAGUACCCAAAUUGACUUAGAACAAUAGUUAACAGUACAUACUGUCAUGCUGUGUAAACAGAACAUGUCCUCACGUCAAGACAUACACUAGUCUAAAAGAAUCCGACAUAACAACUGCCAGUACAGACGAACAACAACAGUACCGUUCUUUAUAAAAAUCUUAUAAGACGUAACUACUAAAAAUAGUAAUUAGUUUACGAUGUAUUUAACAAAUAACAAGAGUCGUUAUGACGGCGACUAAAGCCGCUAGUAGUGACAACUCAGAGACAAGCACUGUGUCUCAGAUAGUGGUUUCGGGCCGCCGAGGUUUCGUCGUGGCCUUCUCUGGAACGUAUCAGUUUUUCUGUUCGUCACUAGCUGGUCUGUCUGAUCUCGAACAUGAAGUACCUCCAGUACCCGUGUGACCGCCGAUCUAUGGAAUUAAUGGCAACAUAGUUCAUCGUCAAACGCCGAUACCGGUCCCGGUAGAAGACACGUUCGAUAAAGUUCAUGAAUGACAUCAACUUUACUGCUAAUAUACACCAAAGUACCGACGGUUGACAUUUACGUAACGGGUGUACAUGAGACACAAGACUCAGGUACCGUAACUCAAGAAUACGGUGAAUUAACAUUGAGCGUGUACCAAUCAGUCCCAUAGAGUUUAAUAGUCGUCGGGUAGAGCGACAAGAGAAAAAAUUAGACUUUUAAUAAAGAAGGUAAUUUGACUUCUACGUUGUCUUACUCG